GCGGCGGACGGAUGAGUAAUGCUUAGGAAUCUGCCUAUUAGUGGGGGACAACACUUCCGAAAGGAAUGCUAAUACCGCAUACGCCCUACGGGAGAAAGCAGGGGAUCUUCGGACCUUGCGCUAAUAGAUGAGCCUAAGUCAGAUUAGCUAGUUGGUGGGGUAAAGGCCUACCAAGGCGACGAUCUGUAGCGGGUCUGAGAGGAUGAUCCGCCACACUGGGACUGAGACACGGCCCAGACUCCUACGGGAGGCAGCAGUGGGGAAUAUUGGACAAUGGGCGCAAGCCUGAUCAAGCCAUGCCGCGUAGUGGGAAGAAGGCCUUUUGGUUGUGAAGCACUUUAAGCGAGGAGGAGGCAACCGAGAUGAAUACUCUAGGAUAGUGGACGUUACUCGCAGAAUAAGCACCGACUAACAUCUGUGCCAACAGCCGAGUAUAUACAGAGGGGGUGAGCGUUAUUCGGAUUUACUGAACGAAAAGAGAGCCUCGACGGCUUGUUAAGUCGCAUGUGAAAUCAUUGAACUUAACUUAUGACUUGCAUUCGAUACUGGCAAGCUAGAGUAUGCGAGAGGA
RNAcentral lists this ribosomal RNA (571 nucleotides) under Acinetobacter sp. 21(2010). RNAcentral describes it as "bacterial SSU rRNA". It matches the Rfam family "Bacterial small subunit ribosomal RNA", at positions 95 to 658 of the family's 1533-position model. The record is from RNAcentral. Lineage: Bacteria; Pseudomonadati; Pseudomonadota; Gammaproteobacteria; Moraxellales; Moraxellaceae.